RNAcentral lists this ribosomal RNA (804 nucleotides) under uncultured bacterium. Its description in RNAcentral is "bacterial SSU rRNA". It matches the Rfam family "Bacterial small subunit ribosomal RNA", at positions 61 to 863 of the family's 1533-position model. The record is from RNAcentral.
GUCGAACGAAGCUUGACGAAUGAUUUCUUCGGAAUGAAAUCUGAUAUGACUGCGUUGCGGACGGGUGAGUAACGCGUGAGCAACCUGCCCUUCGGAACGGGAUAGUGUCUGGAAACGGACAGUAAUACCGUAUAACGUAUUUUUACCGCAUGAUAGAAAUACCAAAACUGAGGUGCCGAAGGAUGGGCUCGCGUCUGAUUAGAUAGUUGGUGGGGUAACGGCCUACCAAGUCGACGAUCAGUAGCCGGACUGAGAGGUUGAACGGCCACAUUGGGACUGAGACACGGCCCAGACUCCUACGGGAGGCAGCAGUGGGGAAUAUUGCACAAUGGGGGAAACCCUGAUGCAGCAACGCCGCGUGAAGGAAGACGGUUUUCGGAUUGUAAACUUCUGUUCUUAGUGAAGAAUAAUGACGGUAGCUAAGGAGCAAGCCACGGCUAACUACGUGCCAGCAGCCGCGGUAAUACGUAGGUGGCAAGCGUUGUCCGGAAUUACUGGGUGUAAAGGGAGCGUAGGCGGGAUGCCAAGUCAGCUGUGAAAACUAUGGGCUUAACUUGUAGACUGCAGUUGAAACUGGUAUUCUUGAGUGAAGUAGAGGUUGGCGGAAUUCCGAGUGUAGCGGUGAAAUGCGUAGAUAUUCGGAGGAACACCGGUGGCGAAGGCGGCCAACUGGGCUUUAACUGACGCUGAGGCUCGAAAGUGUGGGGAGCAAACAGGAUUAGAUACCCUGGUAGUCCACACUGUAAACGAUGAUAACUAGGUGUGGGGGGUCUGACCCCUUCCGUGCCGCAGCUAACGCAAUAA